UUUAAAAUAUAAUAGAUUUUGUGCAUGUGGAUAUCAUCAGUGCAAGUGCAACCAAUAUUCUGAGAGAUACAGUAAACAGGAACAGGAAGCUCAUUCAAAAGAAACCAUGAAACAUUUAUCACCGGAAACUGAGGAAAAACUAUUUCCACAUGAAAAGCAUACUACAUAGAAAGGAUCUAAUGACAACAGUGCAAGUUACAAAUAUAUAUUUAUAUUCAGUUAAAAAUACAGCUUGUCAAUAAAUAUAAAAAUACAAAAUUAAAUUGUGUAAACUA
Long non-coding RNA from Adelges cooleyi (spruce gall adelgid), 275 nucleotides. RefSeq lists it as uncharacterized. Lineage: Eukaryota; Metazoa; Arthropoda; Insecta; Hemiptera; Adelgidae. The transcript has 4 exons. The record is from RefSeq and is a predicted model, not a curated record.